AUACAGUCGUUGUACAGUACGACCAUCAAGGUUGUAAAUUUCUUUAGCAAACUCAUUUUUAUAUAUUUUUAGACUGUUUACCGUUUGACUCCUGUCCCAAUCUAACCUAGUGGGUUCAAAAAGAAAGGACCGCGCUGGAAACAUGAGGGGGUUAAAAGGAUUAGCACUUUUUGAAUUAAUAUUCGAUGUCGUAACUAGCUCGUAUGAAAGGAAUUCUCGACGUGAAAUAGUUUUAUUGAACAACGCCAACAAACAGAGCUCACUCAAAAAACAGGAAAGAAAGGGAAAGAUGAAAAAAUAUUCUGUUGAACAAUA
Long non-coding RNA from Hydra vulgaris (swiftwater hydra), 315 nucleotides. RefSeq lists it as uncharacterized. The record is from RefSeq and is a predicted model, not a curated record. NCBI's taxonomy places the organism in Eukaryota, Metazoa, Cnidaria, Hydrozoa, Anthoathecata, Hydridae.